RNAcentral lists this ribosomal RNA (468 nucleotides) under uncultured bacterium. Its description in RNAcentral is "partial 16S ribosomal RNA". It matches the Rfam family "Bacterial small subunit ribosomal RNA", at positions 28 to 507 of the family's 1533-position model. The record is from RNAcentral.
GACGAACGCUGGCGGCGUGCUUAACACAUGCAAGUCGAACGGAAAGGCCCUGCUUUUGUGGGGUGCUCGAGUGGCAAACGGGUGAGUAACACGUGAGUAACCUGCCCUUGACUUUGGGAUAACUUCAGGAAACUGGGGCUAAUACCGGAUAGGAGCUCCUGCUGCAUGGUGGGGGUUGGAAAGUUUCGGCGGUUGGGGAUGGACUCGCGGCUUAUCAGCUUGUUGGUGGGGUAGUGGCUUACCAAGGCUUUGACGGGUAGCCGGCCUGAGAGGGUGACCGGCCACAUUGGGACUGAGAUACGGCCCUGACUCCUACGGGAGGCAGCAGUGGGGAAUAUUGCACAAUGGGCGGAAGCCUGAUGCAGCAACGCCGCGUGCGGGAUGACGGCCUUCGGGUUGUAAACCGCUUUCGCCUGUGACGAAGCGUGAGUGACGGUAAUGGGUAAAGAAGCACCGGCUAACUACGUG